Molecule: ribosomal RNA, 447 nt
Filed under: uncultured bacterium
Lineage: Bacteria
Description: bacterial SSU rRNA
Rfam family: Bacterial small subunit ribosomal RNA
Source: RNAcentral
UGGGGAAUAUUGGACAAUGGGCGAAAGCCUGAUCCAGCCAUGCCGCGUGGAUGAUGAAGGCCUUAGGGUUGUAAAGUCCUUUCGGCGGGGAAGAUAAUGACGGUACCCGCAGAAGAAGCCACGGCUAACUACGUGCCAGCAGCCGCGGUAAUACGUAGGUGGCAAGCGUUGUCCGGAUUUAUUGGGUUUAAAGGGUGCGUAGGUGGCCCUGUAAGUCAGUGGUGAAAUAUCUCAGCUUAACUGAGAGGGUGCCAUUGAUACUGCAGGGCUUGAGUACAGAUGAGGUAGGCGGAAUUGACGGUGUAGCGGUGAAAUGCAUAGAUAUCGUCAAGAACACCGAUAGCGAAGGCAGCUUACCAAGCUGUAACUGACACUGAGGCACGAAAGUGUGGGGAUCAAACAGGAUUAGAUACCCACGUAGUCCCUGAGCGGGCUGGCAAGGCGCAU